GGGGUCGUUUUUGGAAUUCGACAGGUUGCUUAGGGCAUGGACUGCGUUUCGCCAUCCGGGCGUUAAAACGGGCAGACAUUUUAACUGCAAAAAACGAAAACUCUUUCGCAAUCGCUGCUUAAAAAACAGUGAAGCGUAACUUAGUCUUGGUUGCUGACAUCUGAGAUUAGGUCAUAAAAGGUCAGAUCGCAAAUAUGCUUACAUCUGGAACAUGUUUGUCAAAAUAAUCAGGUUAGUGGUGUGUAGUGGCCUUGUGUUGUGGCGUAACAUAUCAUGAAAUUUAAAUGACAAUACUAUAAGCGUAGAAGUUUAUGUACCGGGUGGUUUGGACAGGGGUUCGACUCCCCUCGACUCCAUUC
Non-coding RNA from Leuconostoc gelidum JB7, 359 nucleotides. NCBI's taxonomy places the organism in Bacteria, Bacillati, Bacillota, Bacilli, Lactobacillales, Lactobacillaceae. The record is from Rfam.